This 16257-nucleotide long non-coding RNA is filed under the name Olea europaea (common olive). RNAcentral's name for it is "long non-coding RNA (OEUR_LNC015266)". Lineage: Eukaryota; Viridiplantae; Streptophyta; Magnoliopsida; Lamiales; Oleaceae. The record is from RNAcentral.
AAAAAAUUAAUUUUAAUUCGAUUUUAAGCGGUACCAAACAUGCUCUAGGUCAUUUGCUUGGGUCUCUAAGAAGUUCCCCAAUUAACAAACCAAGCUACCAUAUUGAUUAAUCACAACAUCGUUGGAAUAAAACAAAAGCACACCACUUGGACAUGGCUUCAUGUAACCUCUGCAACCGAAUAGUGCAAAUUUGCGUCGGAUUUCUUCAGAAAAAUAGUUCCACAUAACAAGUCUUGGCUGCCCACAUCAAAAUCGACAGUGAUCGCCUGAGGCUCACAGAAACCAACCAUUUGGCCAUUUUUAUCCAGAAACUCGAACCUAUUUAUUUCGCGCGGGUUCGUCACUAACAAUUAAAAAGGGAUCAGACGAUUGUGUAAGGGACAAACCUCUUGAGAGAAAGUCCCAAAAAGGGGUGUUCUUUAUUGACAAUGACUUUACAAUCGGAAAGUAAAAAUAGAAUGCCUCCAAAGAACGCAAGCACACGAGUUAUUGAAAGAAAUGUUUAAAUCUAAACUAAGAAAUUUAAAGUUACAUAUUCUCUGUUCGAGAGUUUUUUGAUUCAGGUCCUUUUGCUCUAUGUCUUUUAUUCCUUUUAUACUCCCUGGAUGAUCUCUUUGUGAUCAACCGCCUAAAAACUGCUUGAUCGUUCUAUAACUGCCCACUUUCCUCGUAAUGGCCAACUUGUCAUGGAACUGCCUUUUCUAACUGCUGUCAUUACUCUUUGUCGUUCAACCAUCUUCAAUUGAAUUCCUUGAAUCGUGGAACGUGAUAGGGUUGCUUUAAUAACUGCUUUGAUAACUGCGCUUCUUGAUAACUACAACACUUCAUAUUUGCUAAGACCUUGGGCGACUCGAAGGUUUGGGCGAGAAUAGAGUAGCAGCUCUGGGCGACUGCAUGACACUAUAUUUUCUCAGAUCAUAGGCGACUUGCAAGCUUGGGUGAUGGUGUUACCGCGUUCGUGGGCCUCCCUAUUUGGGCCUUCAUCCUGAGUUGUCUGAUUGGGCUUCGUUCUUUGGGCUAUCUGAUUUGGGGAACCUCUAAUUGGGCUUCAUUCCUUGGGCUGUUCGAUUUGAGUUGAAUUUUUAUGUGUCAACAAUUACCCCCCAAUAUGGCAGAAUUAAUACCAAUUAUUAAAUUUUGCCAUAUUCACUUUGUGUUUCCAGCAACAUUCGAAAUUUUCAAAAAUUUCAAUCAUUGUUUUUUUCCAUAGCUUGAAAAUGUGCGACGUUUUGCAAACCCUUAUAACCCCCAAAUACGCCAUUUCACUGCACCAUUAAAUCACGCCUCACUUUUUUCGCGCUUCUCUCCCACAAUUUUACUGUUUAUCUCUUUGCUUCCUUGUUACGUAACUCUAAAAAACUCCGUUUCGUCCCUAAUGGCUACUUCACAAUCCCAAUCUGGCGACUCCGUUAGUUUUGAUGACUUUCAGAAACUCCUUACUCUUCCAUACAUAACUCCAAACUUUCUCGCACCUGUCAAUGUCGAACUCAAUGAGUUCUACCUAGGUCAUUUUUUCAACAAUGCAGAGGCAGUCGAACAAGCGGCAGUGGGCCAGCUGUUUCCUUGUACUCAAGGCCCUCCAUUUCUAAACUCUCUGCUGCUGGGGCCACUUCGCGAAAGAGGUAUUCGCACUUGGCCUAAAUCUGAUGUAGUUUUCCAUAGGUGGCAUGCUCGCCUUGUGGACCAUGGUCCUACUAAGGCACUUUUUGAUAAUGCUAGGAUUUCUGAUUUGUUAGAAAUCUCUCUUCAACCCCCUACUUUUGAUUCAGCACUUUUUUCGAUCGCUUUAAAUUUUUGAUCUUCUGAGUAUAAUACCUUUGUUUUCCCUCUUGGCCCCAUGUCUAUUACUUUACGGGAUGUUGGAGCCCUAGUGAAUCUUCCACCUUUGGGCGAUACCAUUUUUCCUAGUAUCUUGAUUUCUGGUAGCGCCCCAAAGUUUGGUAAAAACCUUACCGAGUCUUAUUCAAGCCUGCAAACCCUUCAUAACCACUCAAGCGCUGAACCUUCCCAUACUGAGCGAGUGGCCUUUCUUCUGGUUUCGCUUUGUAAAUAUGUUUUGUGUGUACCAAGCAUAAAGCCCUCCUUGAGCUAUUUACCCAUAGUGCAUUAAUUGGCGCGUGGUAGGCCUCUGAAUUUAUGUUCUUUCUUUUUGGCUGCCCUCUAUAGAGGCAUGGCUUCUCUUCAAUCUCAAUUGAAGAAUGGUGCAUCUCCCACUGACAGUGGACCUCUUUGGUUCACUCAAAUGUGGUUGAGAUCCUAUUUUCCAUCGCUUGGUGCUCCAUCAUUUUCUCGUCCUUCUGCUAGCUGUUAUGGGCUAGUCAUUGAGCCCCUGGCUCCUAUAAAUAUGUCUAGAAGGGACAUUUUUUCAUCCUUUUAUUCUGAAAAUUCAAUCCUUCCUUCUUUCCUUUUCCUCCCUUUUUUGACUCCGGACUAUGUGCAUUUAUUUGACGUUUAUCUUUUAAUUGCCAAUCCUUCAAGCAUUUAACUGCUUUGUGCUAAAAAUCUUGCACAUUUUCUCUUGAUAUUUCCAGCUCUUUUUCCAAGACUUUGGGCUACUUAAUUCCAUUUACUAGGCAGAAUGUGGUUGCUCAUAUUCUGUCUCUUCAUCUCCACCCCCUAUAAAAGCACGUAUGCUUCGCACUUUCCAUCUUCCAUCUUCAUUUUCAUUCUCUUCUUCGAAACCAAUUUGAUGCCAUUGUUUGUCAUUCUUGUAUUGAUGUCACCUUUGGUAUGGGAGAUAUAGGAAAUAUUUUUUGGCCAGCAGCGAAGUUUUUCCCAUCAAAGUUUUUCCCAUCGUCUCUUUGUUCUUUACAAGGGGUUCGAUGAUAGAAAGCAAUUUUUGGGAUGCUUGCGGGUCAUCUUGCUUGCUGAGAGUGCUUCUCAGCCUUUUUGCCCGCCAUUGCAACGAUGCAUUUAGGAAGGCGGUGCGAGGUCAGUCCACCCUCUUACUCGGCGAUCGACCGGGAGAUUAGCUUACUUUUAAUUGUAACUUGUAGAGCAUCUAUUAUUUGUAUCUUGCAACUUUGUAAUGAACAUUUGAUAAUAAAGGAAUUUAUUUGAACGUAUUUCGCUCUGACCUUUUUAUCCUUAAUCGUUCAACAUGUUUGAUUACGCUUUUAUCUGUUCACUUUCCCAUAAAAAAGGAACAUAUUUUUUCAAAUAUUUGCCGUUAAUGAAUCUCACGUGCUUGGUGCCAUCUAAAUCUUCCAAAUGAUAUGCUCCAUCGGGCAACAUACUGUUUACUUUGAAUGGUCCUUCCCAAUUGGGCGACCACUUCCCGUACUUUGGAUCCUUGCUAUCCAAAGGGAGUAUCGUCUUCCAAACUAAUUCGCCCAGGCUGAACGAUUUGGCUAUGACUUUUUUAUUAUAAAACGUAGCCAUUCUUUGUUUUUGAACUUGCAAUCUAUCUAAGACGUCCAACUUUAAUUCGUCCAACCCCAACAAAUUUUGAACUAGUGAUUCGGUAUACUUAUCAUCAUUUAACUUAUGUUGCAAGCACACUCUAAUCGGUUGCACGUUGAUUUCCAUAGGCAAACGGCCUCCUAUCCAUAAGUAAGUUGGAAAGGAGUAAUUUUGGUACUUGACCGAGGUGAUGUUCUAUAAGCCCAUAAGGCCUUAUUCAGACAUUCGUGCCAAUUUCUGACAUUUUCAUCUAUCAUUUUUCUGAUGAUAUUUUUUAGAAUCUUAUUAGAAGACUCUGCUUGUCCGUUGGAUUGAGCAUAAUAAGGUGUGGAGUUUACUAAUUUAACCCCAAACUCGCUCAAAAAUUUGUUCACUUGAUCCCCAUUCAAAGAUAUUCCGUGAUCUACCAUCAACGUUUCUGGAAUUCCAGACCUAUAAAUGAUGUGAUCACGGAUAAACUCUAUGAUAUUCUUUUGGGUGAUCUCUUUCAAAGGUACUGCCUCUACCCACUUGGUGAAAUAGUCGAUUGCAACUAUAACAAAAGUAUGUUGCUUGGACGAUGGGGGAUAAAUCUUCCCUAUUAGGUCUAUCGCCCAACCCUUGAACGACCAAGGUUUAAUAAUAGGUGUCAUCUCUCGUGCUGGCGCCCUUUGUAUUGGACCAUGCUUUUGGCAUGCUAAACAACUCUUUGCAUACUGAACGCAUAAUUCUCCCAUCUUUGGCCAAAAAUAUCCACUCCUUAUAAUAAACCAUCUCAUCCUUUGACCAGCUUGAUGAGCUCCACAUAUCCCAUCGUGCACCUCAAUCAUGAUCUUCCUGGCUUCUUGCAAACUUACACACUUUAGCAAUACACCAUCAGAGCGUUUCUUAAACAACUCUUCAUCUAGUAGUGUAUAGUUCAGCAAACACAGCUUUGUUUUCCUACUAAUCCCUCUAUUAGGUUCUUUAAGGAACCUUUUAAUCUCUGUUCUCCAAUCCAUUGCAUCUCUAUCUUGUAUGCAGUGAAGUUCAAUCCUUCUCGCCCUUCUUUGGAUCACGGGCAAUAUGGUUCCAUACUCACAAGUAGACUUCCAAUUCAAAACCUUUAAGUACCCUGAGGCCUGUUCGCGAAAUAUUUUUUUUCGAUUUAAAUUACCGCAAGUGUACGGUUCGUUAACAAGUAAUAAAGUGGAUUCAAUGAGUCCGAGUAUCGUCCCACAGAGAUUGGUUAGUUCAAUUUUACUUAUUCGACCUUAACCGAAACCAAAUUACUCAAAAUGAAUGUGGACCUAAUUAAAACUCUAAAAUUGGAAAGAAAACCCUACUUAUGCAACUUUUAUGAUUGUAAUGAAAUUAAUAAGCAAAACAAUAAUUUAAAACUCUAAAAUGAAAUCAAUUGUUGAGAACGCACGUUUGUUGUAAUCAAUAGAAAUUAAACACACUAGGAUCACGAUUUUCCAUACAAUUAUCACUUUAAACUCUAGUUUCACAAUAUGACAACAUAAUUCAAUUGUUGACGAAUCAAUGUCCCUAAGUCUAUCCAAUACUCUCUCUCGAGAUNNNNNNNNNNNNNNNNNNNNNNNNNNNNNNNNNNNNNNNNNNNNNNNNNNNNNNNNNNNNNNNNNNNNNNNNNNNNNNNNNNNNNNNNNNNNNNNNNNNNNNNNNNNNNNNNNNNNNNNNNNNNNNNNNNNNNNNNNNNNNNNNNNNNNNNNNNNNNNNNNNNNNNNNNNNNNNNNNNNNNNNNNNNNNNNNNNNNNNNNNNNNNNNNNNNNNNNNNNNNNNNNNNNNNNNNNNNNNNNNNNNNNNNNNNNNNNNNNNNNNNNNNNNNNNNNNNNNNNNNNNNNNNNNNNNNNNNNNNNNNNNNNNNNNNNNNNNNNNNNNNNNNNNNNNNNNNNNNNNNNNNNNNNNNNNNNNNNNNNNNNNNNUCUUCUGGACGUUCUUUCGUAUUUAAAUCGCGUGGAAAUUAGGUUACUAAAGGAGUUUCAAUCGUAUAAGGAAACUGCAAAACGGCCCCCAGAUUAUACCUAUGCGACCGCAUAGUACAUUUCUAUGCUGUCGCAUAGAGUAAAAAAAUUUGAGAAAAAGUUCUCGGGAGGCUUCUAUGCGACCGCAUAGAAUUUAUACUAUGCGACCGCAUAGUUAUACAAUUCUUUCCGCUGGACAGCUUUUAGUAUUUUGUUCAUAACUCUCCCUGAUCUCCGAUUGAAGUGAUUCAAAGUGCAUUGUGAAGAAAACUCAAAGAUCUACCCUUUUGAUAGAAAUAGGCUUCCUCAAAUUCUGAUGUUUACUAUGUCAAAAAUGGAUCUCAAGUAGAUACUAAAAAUCACGAGCAUAGCUUUUUCGCCUGAAAGUUGAUACUUGAUAAUACUUCGACCCUAUUUCACCUCGUGACUCCUUUCCUCAUCCGAUUGACUUCUAACACUCUUGAAUCUUCAUUCCAUUUCCCGUCUCAUCUAUGAAUUAUUUGCAACUUGGUCCCCGAACUUUCAGUUUAAUUCAUUUUAGUCCCUUUUGCAAUUCCUUCUUCUUCCAAUCAUCUUGUAUUGCUUUCGAGUUCAUACUUAGCAUAUUUGCAUUCCCGAGUUAUCUUUUAGUUCAACUUUCAAAUAUUUGCAUCCUUAGUCCCUGAACUAUCACUUUGCUCCAUUUUAGUCCUUUUUCGGCUCUCUUCUCCCGAAUUCCACUAUUUCCAUAGAAACACCUACAUUGCAUGAAUUCAAUGAGAUUAAGUCACAAUUCAAUCAUUUUUCUUGUAUUUAAGUUAUGUUUGUAAUCUAAAUAAGUGUGCAAAAACACACUUAUCAAGGCCAUUUGGGCCAACACAUUUGCCACAUCGUUAUAUAUCUUAUUAACGCAUUGAAAUUCUACUUGGUCGAAUUCUUCUAACAAUUCUUGGGCGAUCUCAUAUUGACUUAUAAUGGAAUCACUUUGACAUUUAAAAUCACCAAUCAAUUGGUGAAUUACCAAUUGAGAAUCGCCCCUAACGAUCACAUUUUUUACUCCCAUAUCUAUCAUUAGUUCUAGGCCUACGAUUAAGACUUCAUAUUCGACCUGAUUGUUGGUGCACAUCCUGUCUAAAGUGAACGCGAACUUGCUACUCCUACUCCUGCACCUUUAGAGGUUUUUGACCCAUCAAAAUACAACACCAUAGGUUUUAGCUCGAAAGAAUUGAUUUCUAAUUCAAUUUCUUCAGGCAUGUCAAGGUAUGGAUGAUCGGCUAGAAAGUUAGUCAAAGCCUGAUUUUUUACUACCUUUUGAGGUAUAUAUUGUAUCUCGAAUUCUGAUAAAGCUAAUGUCCAAAGGCCUACCCUUUGGUGUAAAAUAGGGCGAGAGAACAUAUACUUAACUAAAUUUACUUUAGAAAUUAAAUAAACGGUUACGGGCCGUAAAUAAACCCUUAAUUUUGUACAUGUGAAAUAUAAUGCAAGACAUAAUUUUUCGAUAGCAGAGUAAUUACAUUCACAUUUUGUUAACCGCCUACUUAAGUAGUAAAUUGCCCUUUCUUCAGCAAAUUGGUCUUCCUGCACGACUAUUCCAGCUAUUGAUUUUUUUUCAGCCGAUACGUACACUUUCAUUGGCCAUCUUUGGAUUGGUAAUACCAACACUGGUGGACUUGAUAAAUAUGUCUUUAGGCUUUCAAAAGCCUUUUGAUGUUCUUCUUUCCAGACGAAUUCGUCCUGAUUUUUCAUCUUUAAGAGUGGCGAAAAGACUUUAGUUCGCCCUGCAUAGUUAGAAAUAAAGCGUCUUAAAAAAUUUACUUGGCCUAGAAACCUUUGCAAUUCUUUUUGGUUGUUAGGUGGUUUGGCCUCUAAAAUGGCCUUCGCUUUAUUUUUAUCAAGUUCAAUCCCUUUUUUGUGUACCAAGAAACCAAGAAAGUUCCCUACAUUAACACCAAAUGCACAUUUCAAGGGAUUCAACUUUAGUUUAUAUUGCUUCAUUCGCUCAAACGAACAUCUUAACUGUUCGAAAUGGUCCUCUUCUUUAAUGGAUUUGACCACUAUGUCAUCUACAUACACUUCAACAAACUCGCAUAUCAUAUCAUGAAAGAUUAAAUUCAUUGCCCUUUGAUAAGUUGCUCCUGCAUUUUAUAGGCCGAAAGGCAUGACCACCCAUUCAAAACAUCCUAGAGACUCAAGGCAUCUAAAGGUAGUUUUGUGUAUGUCUUCUUCAACUAUAUAAAUUUGAUUGUACCCUGACGUGUUCGGCAGUCGAGUCUACUAAAGAAUCCACCGUGGGCAUUGGAUACUCAUCUUUGGGUGUAGCUAUGUUUAAAUUCCUAAAGUCUAUGCACACUCUUAGUUUACCAUUCUUUUUUAGUACUGGUACGAUAUUGGACAACCAUUCGACAUACCUGGCUGUUCUAAUAAAGCUUGCUUUCACUAAUCGCUCUAUCUCUUACUUAAUCUCAGGGAGUACAUUAGGAGCAAAACGUCUAGGAGGCUGCCUAUGAGGUUUAAAAUUAGGCUUAGUUGGUAACCUAUGUUCCACCAAGUCUCUAUCUAAACCAGGCAUUUGUUCAUAUUUCCAAGCAAAACAAUCUUUAUACUCCUUUAGCAAAGCGAUUAAUUUAUCACGAACCUCUUGACCGAGCAUCUGGCUGAUGAAUGUUGGACGAUCUUCUCCUUCAUUGUCAAUAUUUACUUUGAUUAGAGGGUCUUAUGCUUGAGCGUAUCCAGGUUUGAUGAUCCGCAUCACUUCGUCGUCCAGUUCCCUUGUAAGUACUUCUUCUUCUAAACAGUCCACCUUGUUGACUUCUCGGCCAAUACUUUGUUCUAACUCGAAUACUGCUAAUUUGUCUUUCAGCGCUUUCAGGGCUGUCUCUUCUUUCGCCUUGUCAUUGCAUUCCUUAUUGAAAGCUAUUAAUUUGGCUUUGAAGGCCUGAAUAUCGGCCGUUUGCUCUUGUUACUUAGAACUCAUUCAAGACUCCUUAAUUAUUCUUUUGCCAAUUACUGGCUCUUCUAGGGCCACUAUAUUUGGCCUCAUCUGUCUGAACAUUUCAGUGAGUGCAUCCAUUGAAAAUGGAUCUUCGCUUUACGUGACAACUUCGGUUUCUUCCCCAUCUUGUACUACCUUGACAGGUCCAUAGUUUCCUUCGUACAUGAACUUUUCCACCGAGUUUGCUUCUGCGACAAAAGGCCUAUGAUCGGCCUGUACCACCUCUGCUUCACCCUUGUUAUUUCAAAAAAUAAGGCAUUGAUGGAGCGAUGAGGAUAUACAGCGACUUCCGUGUAUUCAAUCUCUUCCUAGUAACACAUUGCAACUAGUAGGACCAUCUAUUACAAAGAAGACUGUGGUCCUAGUAGUUGUCCCUAUAGUUAUGUCCAAUGGCAUAACUCCCUUAGCUAAAGUUACUCCUCCAUUGAAACUCAUAAGGAUGACUUCUGUUGGAAACAUGUUACCCUCUGUCUUUGCAAAUUUCCUCAUCAUCCUAGAUGGAAUGGUGUUUAUAGCUGCUCCAUUGUCGAUAAGCACUUUUGCCAUAGGGAUGCCGUUAACUAGAGUUUUAACAUACAAUGGCCUCAAGUGUUUAGUUAAUUUCAUGGCUGGCCGUUUAAAAAUAACCUUUUCGGCAGCCUCUAUUUCUACUUCCUACUUGUUUUCUGUCGAAUUAUCCCCCUGUGAUAAGUCGACGUGCAACAUAUCGCGCUGAGCCUCUGUCUCCUAAAUUUCCUCCUUACUGUUUUCUAAUGCUUCCUCAUCAGUUACCCAACAUGUGGGAGGGGGCAUUAUUCUUGGAGGUGAUCCAUAUUUUUCAGAGCGAGGUACUCUCUUCUUCCUUUUGGGCGUCCCGUAUAGUACGCCCAGAUGGUUCUCCUAACAAGUCUACUUUGCGAACUCCCUCUCGUUGUAGUUGCUUCAACAGAGUAUUCUGCGAUACUCCUCUCCUUCUUCUUUUUGCUUCUAGGUUGAUUUCUUCUUCGAUGUUUGUCAUCUCGUCGUCUUCUUCAUCAUUGUAGGUCUCUCUAGAAGUUUGGCCUUCUUCACAUUCCAGCACACAAGCCUCUCCUUCGUUGUCCUCCCUUUCUUCUUCUUCUUUUUCUUUAUUCUUGAAUUCAUUGGCCAGUAAGUAAUUAUUAGCCACAAUAAGAGGUAAUGUACCGAACUGGAUAGUAAGGGGCUGAUAUGGAUCUUCUCCAUCCCUUCUGUCUCGCUCAAACUUUGAUCUUCCAGAAGAAGUUUCUGACAAUUCUUUCAUUGAUUCAUCUGUACCGGUCUCUUCACUAUCUUUGAGAACAUUUUGAUUGGCUACCUUGAGUAGUUUAGGUGCUUUAGGAUGUGGCACUCCCUGUUGCUGCCUCAUCAUUCGUCCAUAAUUUCGUUGGAAACGCCUUCGUUGGGUUCUAGUCAUCUCAUCGAAGGGUAUUGCCCUUCCUGCAUUAUACUGGAACGAAUGCCAUACAUUUGGCCGGCGAGGUUGUGGUAUGAAUGUUUUCCCAUUAUCUACUGGCCUAAACUGCCUCUCAAAAGGCGGUCCUCUAUAGAAUGAUGUACCUCGCCCUCUACCAGGCUGAGUGUUUAGGAAGAAAGUAGGGCGAUGGGGAUGCUGCCAUAUCCCUGGUUUCUCCUUGUUCCCAUUCACUUCUCUUUUACAUCUUGCAAACAUGACGUCUUCAUCCUUUUUUGGCUCUUUCCCCUUGAUUCGUUCAAAAACACUAGGAUGUGGUCCAGGGUUCUCUUCUCCAUCAUCUAUGACCAACUUGAAUUUUGGCAACUUGUUUUUGAAACCAGACGUCACCAUGUUCACUCCAAGUGGCUGUGGAAAAGGAUUUUCAUCCACUGCCAUCUUCUUCUUAUCGUCGAAUGUAAUUCGUCCUGAUUCAAUGGCUUCUGCAAUACAUGGCGAAAAACAAAGCAAUUGUUAGUCAAAUGUGACCAUGCAUUAUGCCAUUUACAAUAUUUUUUACCCUUAAUUUGUUCAGCGUUUGGUAAUUUAUGCUUAUCGCUCGGCUUUAUCUACUUAUCCCUAUAUAAUUUAUCAAAUAUAAGGUCAGCUUUGGUUACAUAGAACGAGAACGUUCUAGCCUUUAUGUUUCCAUCUUUCAUGGGCUCAUCUUUGCCCGAUAGUCUAGGCUUAGCCAUUAUAGGACAAGUAUACGUGUCUUCUUUGACCAAUUUGGCCAAACACAUUUCGACUUGAUCGUAUGACUCGUCACUGAUGGUAUGAACGUCAAAAUUUGGGUCUUUGUAAUAAGUCUCUUUACUAGAAUUCUUCAUCUGCUCUUUUUCUCUUAUCAGUCGUUCAUACCUAAUCACAUUCGCACUCAACUGAAAAAGGUCAGGAAAUUCCUUGUCUUGGAAUUUCUUUUUUAAAUCAAAGCUCAAAUAGCGCUGAGCGAUUUUGACAAAUUCUUUUUCGCGCAGAGAUACAAAACACUUGCUUCUUGCUGUCUUGAACCUUUGGAGAAAAUUUUCUGCCCAUUCAUUUGGCAUUUACGUAGAUUCACCAAAUCAACCAAAGUGACUUCAGACUCAGUUUUAUAAAAUUGAGCGUGGAAUAAUUGUUCCAAUUGUUGUCAUGUUUGAACAGAGUUCGCUGGCAAGUUGAUGAACCAGGAGAAAGCUACUCCUGUUAAUGAACUAGUGAAAAGCCUCAUUUUAUGGUAAUCAGUUACAUUACCCCUUUGCAAUGUGAAUCGCCCUAUGUGUUCUAGAGUAGACACCUCUCCUAAACCGGUAAACAGUGAGAACUCUGGCACUUUAUACCCUCUAGGCCAUGGAUAUGCUUGGUCUACCCAAUCAGGAUAUGGCUUUGUGUAAGUCGGCCUAAUGAUAGGACGCACCCCAAAAGCUAUCUGAUCCUGUACGAUUUCCAUAAUUUGAUUCCUCAACAUGAUGUUGGGGUCAUACGAAAUUCCUACAGGUUAGUUAACCGGUUGAUUUGCAUGAGGCCUGAUGUUUGGUUCUUGAUUGGCAACAAAGUUACCAUGAUUAGGGCCAUUAUCAUUAGCCUGAACAUCUAUUCCCUCAUUAACACGUGGGGUAUUCUAUCCAUUGUUUAGGACAUUAUCUCUUACAUUUGGAUUAUCCCCCAAGUUAGGUGUACCACUACCAUUGUUCUGAUUUGGCACUGCACCACCCCCUUAGUUUGAAGUAGAGGGACCAAAAAGUGGUUCUAUCCCUUGAUUCAGAUUUAGGACUGAGGGAUUAUGUCCCAUAAUUGUCCUAUCAAGAGGCAUAACUGGUUGAUAUAUUUGGCCUACUAACGUAUUCAUUAUUUCAUUCAAAGUGUUUAGCUGUUUGGCCAUGUUGUCAUAAUGGGCAUUCCCAUUUUGGGUAAAUCUUUCCAUAUUAUGAAUACUUUGAAGAUUUACCUGUUCAAUGACAUCUUGUGUGAGUUCUCCAAGUAGUGCACGCAUAGUUCGAGGACUCAAUUCUGUCAUUGGUUCGUAACGACUAUUAUUGCUCUGAUUCUGUCCAUCUGUUCGUGGAGCGGCAUGCUGCUCCUCAUAUCGCUCGAUCACAGUCUGGACUCCUCCUUGACUUGCUGCUUCCUUAUCGGAUCUCUGAGGCAUAUUGUUUCACCUUUUGUAUUUUCAACACCAAACACCACUGUCCCACUGGGCGUGCCAAAUUGUUUCGCGCGGGUUCAUUGCUUAUAAUUAAAAAGGGAUCAGACGAUUGUGUAAGGGACAAAUCUCUUGAAACAAAGUCCCAAAAAGGGGUGUUCUUUAUUGGCGAUGACUUUACAAUCGGAAAGUAAAAACAGAAUGCCUCCAAGGGGCGCAAGCACACGAGUUACUGAAAGAAGCGUUUAAAUCUAAACUAAGAAAUUUAAAGUUACAUAUUCUCUGUUCGAGAGUUUUUUUAUUCGAGUCCUCUUGCUCUCUGUCUUUUAUUCCUUUUAUACUCCCUGGAUGAUCUCUUUGUGAUCAACCGCCUAAAAACUGCUUGAUCGUUCUAUAACUGCCCACUUUCCUCGUAAUGGCCAACUUGUCAUGGAACUGCCUUUUCUAACUGCUGCCAUUACUCUUUGUCGUUCAACCAUCUUCAAUUGAAUUCCUUGAAUUGUGGAACGUGAUACGGAUGCUUUAAUAACUGCUUUGAUAACUGCGCUUCUUACUAACCACAACACUUCAUGUUUGCUAAGACCUUGGGCGACUCGAAGGUUUGGGCGAGAAUAGAGUAGCAGCUCUGGGCGACUGCAUGGCACUCCAUUCGCUCAGAUCCUGGGCGACUUACAAGCUUGGGCGAUGGUGUUACCGCGUUCAUGGGCCUCCCUAUUUGGACCUUUAUCCUGAAUUAUCUGAUUGGGCUUCGUUCUUUGGACUAUCUGAUUUGGGGAUCCUCCAAUUGGGCUUCAUUCCUUGGGCCGUUCAAUUUGGGCUGAAUUUUUAUGUGUCAACACUAUUAGAACUUCCACUGUGCUUCCUACCUUGCUUUUGGUCUUUACCCUUGCUGCCCCGUGAAGAUUUGCCACCACCCUUGUGCUUGUUCUUCCCGUACCUCUUGCUAUCACUAAUGAUAGGCGAUGAUUCUUGUUCAAUGAAACAUGUAACAUUGCUAUUGGAACUGGAUCGUGUACAUCAAGGUCCCAUCAUUCCCAUGUCACUGGUAUUCCCUGUUUUUCAUGGCCACCUUUCAUGGCAGAUACAAGCUUCAAAGGAGUCUCUGAGAAGAUUAGAAAUCAAGGAAAAAAAUUGGAGUGAGUGGUAAUAUGAAUUUGCCCAAAACUGAACCGUCAUAUACCAUACUAGAACUUAUCAUACGUUUGAAACAUAACUAUUUGGAAUGCACUACUACUUUACCGCAACUUUUUUCCGAGGCACUGCCUCAGUUACUAAAUAGGCAAUUAAAGAAGAGAAUAAUGGGAAAACAAAGAAAUGAACUAUCGCACUGUUGAAAUACAACAAAGGUUGGACAUCAAAAAAUUCAAAAUGGAUGGGCAAAAGGUUCACUGGCCUGCAUCCUCUAGAAUUAUUGUCUCUGAUAUAAAUUGCAUACAGAUCAUCAAGAAGAUACCUUAUAUUUUCGAAAACCAAAAGAACAGAAUUAUAAGCAAAGAUAAAGCUAGAAUAUAAUAUAGAAGAAAUUAAGCCCAUGUUUGGUAGAGAUUUUUUGAGAAUAGACUUUGUGAGAAGUAAUUUCUUUUGGAGAAUUAGGGGUUAAAAACUAGGAAAAACUUACGGGUUUACUAGUAAAAUUAUUUUAUUGGAAAAAUAUGUAAUUGAAAAUGAGCUCGAGAAAUCGGGGCCAAAUAAGGAAUAUAAAAUCGCACUCACAGGUGCACAAUUGACACAUACCUCGCGGGAAAGCAACUACGUGGCAUAAAAAAUCAUCCCUACUUUCCAGUAAUUUAACAUGAUCAUAGCAGUAUUAGUACAAUUCCAGUUCCCAACCAGACAGCUAUAGGUAAAAUACUUUAACUGUCUUGAACCAAAAACAGCAUCUGUUUUUCACUAGAAUUCCCCAUUGACAUGAGAAAGAUCGUAUGUUGGUGAAAAAUAUAGACAAAAGCUAGCUAUCAAGAAGUCUAAGUAAACUUACAGGCAAAAAAAUGGACUGUGAAUAAGACUGAUCAACAGAUUUAGCAUGGCCAUUUGGCAAAGAGACUUUCAGAGUUAUAUAAUCACCAUGCUUUUCUUUCCUGUCCACUAAUUCCACGGUGGAAAAUUUAUGCUCACCAAGAGGUGGAAUUGUUGCUAAGGCAAUUUUCAGACGAUGGAAUGCUCACCUCCCUUAUAUCUGGGUCCUUAUAUUCAUCUAUGCUUGCCACAUUGCCUAUAACAUAUUUCUCAGGAGUUGGAGCGAAGCGGUGAAGCCACAACUUGAAAUUGCCACAUCCUCAGUGCUUAGAAACUCAAUCAAACAUGAUUCCAGAUAAUUGAUAGAAACAUCACUUGCACAGUAAUGAGCUGAAUCAGGUGGAUCAGUUGAUUUGCUAAUGCUGGUUAUAUUCUGCGGACCUGGUGUAUUAUGUGUUAAGACCUGGAGUUCUAUCUUAAAAGGUCAACCUUCUUAAGAGGAGUAGCCCACCUUAUAAGUUGGUAUGUUUUAUCUUUAUUUGAUAUGUAAUUAUAUCCCUUGAUGUGCCCCGCAAGAUAGUGGCUCGUUUGAGCAAACCAAUCUUGAAAUCCAAAUGCUCAUUUAUUGAGUUUUAAUCGAAUCGAAUUGCUCGUUGAAGUUUAAUUGGCUUUGAUAUUAUGUUAAGACUUGGGGUUCCAUUUUAAAAGGUCAAUCUUCUAAAGAGGAAUAGCCCAAGACCUUAUAUGUUGGUCUAUGUUUUCAUCUUUAUUUGUUGUGAGAUUAUGUUCCUUGAUAUUAUGAAGAACACAAACUUCCGUAUACAGGAACAAGAAUGGCAGAGAAGGGCUGCACCAGCAGAGAUGGAAGCAACUAAGCACUUACGAUUAUGAAAAGUAUCACUUCCAAAAUAACACAAACAAAGCUAGAAAAAAUAUGUGGAACAGUAAAUAGGAAUAUAAUACAUUCAACUGACCUCCACUCCAGCAUUGACAUACCACUAGAUAGGAGGAAUGUAUGAGCACGAGAAAUGGCCAGUUUAUGACUUGAAAAUACUCAUAAAUCCCCCACCCAAAAAAAAAAAAGGAAAUUAACUUACGUAUAAACUGGGAUUGAAGCACCGGGCACACCAUCUGAAGGAAUUUUUAUUAAAUCAUGCCCUUUCACACCUAUUUUCUUUGGUUGUGUAAAGGCUCAUAUGAUAGAAACUUAAAAUAGAUUCAUUUCUAUGUAACUUGGUUAUUUGUGUAUAUCACCUCACUCAGCUCACUGCUCCCCUAAUUUCAUUUUUGGUAAAAUGUUCCCUGCUUAUUAUGUCUUUUAAUUUGCAAGUUUAAUGUGAUAAUGAAUAAAGCCUAAUAAUUCUAAACUGACAAAACAUUCAAGAAAUGAAUGAGCACCCAUAAUUAAGAUGAUGCCGAUCAAAUACAUCACAGAGAGAUCCAGUGAACAGUUUUACAAAGCCCGUGAAGCAGAAAGCGAAGAAAUAAACAAAUAAAAAAGAAAAAUUUCCCCGCCUACGUAUCCAAAUAGAAGAUAUAACAUAAUUCUGAUAUGAAACAUUUACAAAACAUAAAUUGAUUCAAAAACAAGAACAAAUUAAAUUAAUUUGAUUAAGAAAGUACCUUGUCCUGAUCCAAGCGUAUAAACCCUUCAAGUUACAGCUGAAAAAAUCUCCUUAAACCAGAUGCAAUGAAUAGAAAGGGGAAAUCACGGCAAAGUACUAUAGCUCAAUAACCAAUCAAAAUUAGCUCACCACCAAAUUUAUCCCUCGUAUUAUUGUAAACGAUGGAAAAUCGGAAAACAUAAUAUACAAUAUACAAAGAGCAAACAACUAGAAUAUAAACCCAUGAAAUCAGACAGAAAAAUAAAAAUUUAAGCUAAUGUUAAUUAGUAAGAUUACCACGCUGAUCAUUUUUCCAAGAUGUUUCAGGCGAUGUAGAGUUUAAACUCUCAAAUAAAAUAAUUUUUAUUGAUAAAAUACAAUUUUACACUUUUUUUUUGACUCACUUUGAUUAUAUGGAGGCACUUCUUACUAACACACUACACUACCUCACUAUGUCUCUCUUUCUCUACUUAUUCUAUCUAAUCUCACUCUCUUCACACACCUUUCACCAUACACCAUCCCCUAUUUAUAGAGGUAAGUUGGUGACAAUUCUCCUACACAAAAAUUGAUGAUUCUACAUAAUCUCAUUAAUUGAUUCUAAGUCAUCUUCCUAGAUAAAUCUAGAAUGAUGAUGAGCAAUGUAUUUUCUAGAUUUUUCAAUGGUUGAGAAGGGAUAAUAAAAUGGUAAAUCUUAGAUGAAUCUAGAAAAUUCAUGCCAAAGUCGGUGAAGCAGACAUCGAAGAGGGUAGAUUUGCUAGAUUUAAAGAAAAUGGAUGACAAAUUGCAAGAGGAAAUCAUGGAAGCACAAC